This 68-nucleotide transfer RNA is filed under the name Lygodactylus nigropunctatus. RNAcentral's name for it is "tRNA-Ala". Lineage: Eukaryota; Metazoa; Chordata; Lepidosauria; Squamata; Gekkonidae. The record is from RNAcentral.
GAAGCCUUAGCUUAAUUAAAGUGUCUAAGUUGCAAUUAGAUGUUGUGGAUUAAAGUUCUGCAGGGGUU